This 1495-nucleotide ribosomal RNA is filed under the name uncultured rumen bacterium. RNAcentral describes it as "bacterial SSU rRNA". It matches the Rfam family "Bacterial small subunit ribosomal RNA". The record is from RNAcentral.
AGAGUUUGAUCCUGGCUCAGGAUGAACGCUAGCGACAGGCUUAACACAUGCAAGUCGAGGGGCAGCAUGGGAGGUGGCAACACCACCCGAUGGCGACCGGCGCACUGGUGAGUAACACGUAUGCGACCUGCCCCCUACAGGGGAAUAACCCAGAGAAAUUUGGCCUAAUACCCCGUAGUCCGCCGCGCCGCAGGACGUGGCGGGGAAAGAGUUAUCGGUAGGGGAUGGGCAUGCGGCGCAUUAGCUAGUUGGCGGGGCAACGGCCCACCGAGGCUACGAUGCGUAGGGGUUCUGAGAGGAAGGUCCCCCACACUGGUACUGAGACACGGACCAUACUCCUACGGGAGGCAGCAGUGAGGAAUAUUGGUCAAUGGGCGCGAGCCUGAACCAGCCAAGUCGCGUGCAGGAAGACGGCCCUACGGGUUGUAAACCGCUUUAGCCGGGGAGUAACAAGCGCCACGUGUGGCGCCAUGAGAGUACCCGGAGAAUAAGCAUCGGCUAACUCCGUGCCAGCAGCCGCGGUAAUACGGAGGAUGCGAGCGUUAUCCGGAUUCAUUGGGUUUAAAGGGUGCGCAGGCGGCGCGCCAAGUCAUCGGUCAAAUCUCCGGGCUCAACCCGGUGUCGCCGUUGAAACUGGCGUGCUUGAGUAGGUGCGACGGAGGCGGAAUGCKUGGUGUAGCGGUGAAAUGCAUAGAUAUCACGCAGAACYCCGAUUGYGAAGGCAGCUUCCGAGCACUCGAUUGACGYUGAGGCACGAMAGCGUGGGUAUCGWACAGGAUUAGAUACCCUGGUAGUCCACGCGGUAAACGAUGAAUACUGGUUAUUCUGUCGAUAUAGAUUGAGUGACCUAAGAGAAAGCAUUAAGUAUUCCACAUGGGGAGUACGCCGGCAACGGUGGAACUCAAAGGAAUUGACGGGGGCCCGCACAUGCGGAGGAACAUGUGGUUUAAUUCGAUGAUACGCGAGGAACCUUACCCGGGCUCAAACGCAGAGAGACGGCACGUGAAAGCGUGUUUUCUUUUGGGACGGUGUGUGAGGUGUUGCAUGGUUGUUGUCAGCUCGUGCCGUGAGGUGUCGGCAAAGUGCCAUAACGAGCGCAACCCCCAUCUUCAGUUGCCACCGUUUGAAGGCGGGCACUCUGGAGAGACUGCCGGCGCAAGCUGUGAGGAAGGCGGGGAUGACGUCAAAUCAGCACGGCCCUUACGUCCGGGGCGACACACGUGUUACAAUGGCGGGGCACAGAAGGAAUCCAGGCGGCGACGCCGAGCCGAUCCCAAAAACCCGUCUCAGUUCGGAUCGGAGUCUGCAACCCGACUCCGUGAAGCUGGAUUCGCUAGUAAUCGCGCAUCAGCCAUGGCGCGGUGAAUACGUUCCCGGGCCUUGUACACACCGCCCGUCAAGCCACGGAAGCCUGGAGUGCCUGAAGUGCGUGACCGCAAGGAGCGCCCAAGGGUAAGACAGGUGACUGGGGCUAAGUCGUAACAAGGUAACCGUA